UUUAUGAAAAGGCAAACUUGUCGAAAGAUGAGGACGCAAAGCUAAGGGUCUAAAGUAAAUUCAACUAUUCUAUGAUCGCCUGGCUGCCAUA
This 91-nucleotide non-coding RNA is filed under the name Peptoclostridium litorale. Its description in RNAcentral is "Clostridium litorale c-di-GMP sequence". It matches the Rfam family "c-di-GMP-I riboswitch aptamer". From Rfam's summary of the family: GEMM was predicted in a large-scale screen for bacterial structured RNA regulatory elements. Genes associated with GEMM are involved in a diverse array of functions, including chemotaxis regulation, signal transduction, secretion and chitin. The record is from RNAcentral. Lineage: Bacteria; Bacillati; Bacillota; Clostridia; Peptostreptococcales; Peptoclostridiaceae. RNAcentral also lists the same sequence under 1 other name.